This 90-nucleotide non-coding RNA is filed under the name Rubrivivax sp. A210. Its description in RNAcentral is "SAH (S-adenosyl-L-homocysteine) riboswitch aptamer". It matches the Rfam family "SAH (S-adenosyl-L-homocysteine) riboswitch aptamer". Lineage: Bacteria; Pseudomonadati; Pseudomonadota; Betaproteobacteria; Burkholderiales; Sphaerotilaceae. The record is from Rfam by way of RNAcentral.
CUUCCCGAGGAGCGUUGCAACGGCAGCCAUGCCGCCAGGCUCGGGGCGUUCGAGGCCAGCCGCCUCCCACCGCAACGGCGCUCACCCACU